Molecule: ribosomal RNA, 257 nt
Filed under: uncultured bacterium
Lineage: Bacteria
Description: partial 16S ribosomal RNA
Rfam family: Bacterial small subunit ribosomal RNA
Source: RNAcentral
UGGCGGACGGGUGAGUAACGCGUGGGUAACCUGCCUCACACAGGGGGAUAACAGUUGGAAACGACCGCUAAUACCGCAUAACCCGCUGGUAUCGCAUGAUACUGACGGAAAAGAUUUAUCGGUGUGAGAUGGACCCGCGUCUGAUUAGCCAGUUGGCAGGUAACGGCCUACCAAAGCGACGAUCAGUAGCCGGCCUGAGAGGGUGAACGGCCACAUUGGGACUGAGACACGGCCCAAACUCCUACGGAAGGCAGCAG